AUUGAACGCUGGCGGCAUGCUUUACACAUGCAAGUCGAACGGCAGCACGGGCUUCGGCCUGGUGGCGAGUGGCGAACGGGUGAGUAAUAUAUCGGAACGUACCCAGAAGUGGGGGAUAACGUAGCGAAAGUUACGCUAAUACCGCAUACGAUCUAUGGAUGAAAGCAGGGGACCGCAAGGCCUUGUGCUCCUGGAGCGGCCGAUAUCUGAUUAGCUAGUUGGUGAGGUAAAGGCUCACCAAGGCGACGAUCAGUAGCUGGUCUGAGAGGACGACCAGCCACACUGGAACUGAGACACGGUCCAGACUCCUACGGGAGGCAGCAGUGGGAAUUUUGGACAAUGGGCGCAAGCCUGAUCCAGCAAUGCCGCGUGAGUGAAGAAGGCCUUCGGGUUGUAAAGCUCUUUUGUCAGGGAAGAAACGGUAGAGGCUAAUAUCCUUUGCUAAUGACGGUACCUGAAGAAUAAGCACCGGCUAACUACGUG
This 483-nucleotide ribosomal RNA is filed under the name uncultured bacterium. Its description in RNAcentral is "partial 16S ribosomal RNA". It matches the Rfam family "Bacterial small subunit ribosomal RNA", at positions 30 to 507 of the family's 1533-position model. The record is from RNAcentral.